GAUGAACGCUGGCGGCGUGCCUAAUACAUGCAAGUCGAGCGAACAGAUGAGGAGCUUGCUCCUCUGACGUUAGCGGCGGACGGGUGAGUAACACGUGGAUAACCUACCUAUAAGACUGGGAUAACUUCGGGAAACCGGAGCUAAUACCGGAUAAUAUAUUGAACCGCAUGGUUCAAUAGUGAAAGACGGUUUUGCUGUCACUUAUAGAUGGAUCCGCGCCGCAUUAGCUAGUUGGUAAGGUAACGGCUUACCAAGGCAACGAUGCGUAGCCGACCUGAGAGGGUGAUCGGCCACACUGGAACCGAGACACGGUCCAGACUCCUACGGGAGGCAGCAGUAGGGAAUCUUCCGCAAAGGGCGAAAGCCUGACGGAGCAACGCCGCGUGAGUGAUGAAGGUCUUCGGAUCGUAAAACUCUGUUAUUAGGGAAGAGCAAAUGUGUAAGUAACUAUGCACGUCUUGACGGUACCUAAUCAGAAAGCCACGGCUAACUACGUG
Molecule: ribosomal RNA, 497 nt
Filed under: uncultured bacterium
Lineage: Bacteria
Description: partial 16S ribosomal RNA
Rfam family: Bacterial small subunit ribosomal RNA
Source: RNAcentral